RNAcentral lists this long non-coding RNA (510 nucleotides) under Homo sapiens (human). RNAcentral describes it as "non-protein coding lnc-CTSV-2:5". Lineage: Eukaryota; Metazoa; Chordata; Mammalia; Primates; Hominidae. The record is from RNAcentral.
GCCUGCCUCAGCCUCCCAAAGUGCUGGGAUUACAGGUGUGAGCCACCGCGCCCGGCCUCUCGAGCUCAUUUUUAAGCCUCCUGGUAUUUUUAAGGAAAUGUAAGAGUGUGAAUCAGGUACUGAUGGUUUUGACUUCAUUAUGAUCAGCAUCUUUGGCUUCCAUCAGAGUAGACACUGAACGUUUUCAUCCAACCGGAUGAUGAGUGCAUUAAUACUCUUCACUCUCAACUCAGGGAAAAGGACCCUGACAGGACACCCUCCUGUUGGAGCUAACAGAUGUGCACCUUUGAGAAUGAUCAUUGAGAAGGGAAGCCAUGUGACUUCAUCCUCCGUGGCUCUGGUGGUCUCUUCGACAUCUGUGAGAUACUCACUAAAAGCUGGUUGCGCUUUGAGAUCUGGGCGCCUGCUGGAACCUGGAGCCACAAGUCUUCAUUCAUGCUAAAGAACUCCUGUCUUGGUGGAGGUAUUUGCCUUUGUUUGAGUUUCUUGGUACUGCUCUCCAUCUUUUUG